RNAcentral lists this ribosomal RNA (255 nucleotides) under uncultured bacterium. RNAcentral's name for it is "partial 16S ribosomal RNA". It matches the Rfam family "Bacterial small subunit ribosomal RNA", at positions 524 to 776 of the family's 1533-position model. The record is from RNAcentral.
UACGUAGGGGGCAAGCGUUGUCCGGAAUCACUGGGCGUAAAGGGCGCGUAGGUGGCCCGGUCAGUUCGUGGUGAAAGCGCGGGGCUCAACCCUGCGUCGGCCAUGAAUACUGCCGCGGCUGGAGCACUGUAGAGGCAGGCGGAAUUCCGGGUGUAGCGGUGGAAUGGCGUAGAUAUCCGGAGGAACACCGGUGGCGAAGGCGGCUCCUGGACCGACACUGACGGCUGAGGCGCGAAAGCUAGGGGAGCAAACGGG